RNAcentral lists this ribosomal RNA (538 nucleotides) under uncultured bacterium. Its description in RNAcentral is "bacterial SSU rRNA". It matches the Rfam family "Bacterial small subunit ribosomal RNA", at positions 777 to 1314 of the family's 1533-position model. The record is from RNAcentral.
AAUAGAUACCCGGGUAGUCCACGCAGUAAACGAUGAGUGCUAGGUGUUAGGGGGGCCAACCCCUUAGUGCUGAAGUUAACACAUUAAGCACUCCGCCUGGGGAGUACGACCGCAAGGUUGAAACUCAAAGGAAUUGACGGGGGCCCGCACAAGCAGUGGAGCAUGUGGUUUAAUUCGAAGCAACGCGAAGAACCUUACCAGGUCUUGACAUCCUCUGACAACCCUAGAGAUAGGGCGUUCCCCUUCGGGGGACAGAGUGACAGGUGGUGCAUGGUUGUCGUCAGCUCGUGUCGUGAGAUGUUGGGUUAAGUCCCGCAACGAGCGCAACCCUUGAUGUUAGUUGCCAGCAUUCAGUUGGGCACUCUAACGUGACUGCCGGUGACAAACCGGAGGAAGGUGGGGAUGACGUCAAAUCAUCAUGCCCCUUAUGACCUGGGCUACACACGUGCUACAAUGGGCGGUACAAAGGGCAGCGAAACCGCGAGGUGGAGCCAAUCCCAUAAAGCCGCUCUCAGUUCGGAUUGCAGGCUGCAACUCG